This 207-nucleotide ribosomal RNA is filed under the name uncultured bacterium. Its description in RNAcentral is "partial 16S ribosomal RNA". It matches the Rfam family "Bacterial small subunit ribosomal RNA", at positions 568 to 774 of the family's 1533-position model. The record is from RNAcentral.
AGUGUAGGCGGUCUGCCAAGUCGAUUGUGAAAUCUCCCGGCUCAACCGGGAGGGUGCGGUCGAAACUGACAGACUAGAGUUCGGGAGAGGAGAGUGGAAUUCCUGGUGUAGCGGUGAAAUGCGUAGAUAUCAGGAGGAACACCGGUGGUGAAGACGGCUCUCUGGACCGAUACUGACGCUGAGACUCGAAAGCGUGGGGAGCAAACA